Molecule: ribosomal RNA, 477 nt
Filed under: uncultured bacterium
Lineage: Bacteria
Description: bacterial SSU rRNA
Rfam family: Bacterial small subunit ribosomal RNA
Source: RNAcentral
AAAUUAAAGUCCCAGGUGCGGCAUGGCUGUUGUCAGCUCGUGUUGUGAGAUGUUGGGUUAAGUCCCGCAACGAGCCCAACCCUUAUCCUCAGUUGCCAUCAUUUAUUUGGGCUCUCUAAGAGGAGACUCCCGGUGUCAACGGGAGGAAGGUGGGGAUGACGUCAAGUCCUCAUGGCCCUUAUGUCCUGGGCUACACACGUGCUACAAUGGUUGAUACAAAGCGCUGCGAAGCCGCGAGGUGGAGCGAAUCGCAAAAAGUCAGCCUCAGUACGGAUUGCACUCUGCAACUCGAGUGCAUGAAGUCGGAAUUGCUAGUAAUCGCUGAUCAGCAGGCAGCGGUGAAUACGUUCCCGGGCCUUGUACACACCGCCCGUCACACCAUGGGAGUCGAGUGCUCCAGAAGUGGCCGCGCUAACCCGCAAGGGAGGCAGGUCCCCAAGGAGUGUUUGGUAACUGGGGUGAAGUCGUAACAAGGUA